This 418-nucleotide ribosomal RNA is filed under the name uncultured eukaryote. RNAcentral's name for it is "partial 18S ribosomal RNA". It matches the Rfam family "Eukaryotic small subunit ribosomal RNA", at positions 559 to 873 of the family's 1831-position model. The record is from RNAcentral.
GUCUGGUGCCAGCAGCCGCGGUAAUUCCAGCUCUAAUAGCGUAUAUUAAUAUUGUUGCAGUUAAAAAGCUCGUAGUUGAAAUUUGGAACUUUAUUAUAUUGGUUUAUCUUUUGAUGAACUGUAUAAUGGGUUUCUUCCUACUAGAGUUCGAUUCUGUUCUUAAUUGAAUGGAGUAGCUAUCUCUCGGGGUGGUCAAUUGGUUGUUAUAUCUCCACUAAUAAGCAGAGAGGGGUAAAACCUUCAAAGUAAGUUAUGUGGGUCAAGGUAUGAUGAUUAAUUGGAGUUCUAGUUCAUUUACUUUGAGAAAAUUAAGAGUGUUUAAAGCAGCCUCUUGGGGCACUGAAUACAUUAGCAUGGGAUAAUAAAAUAGGAUCUUCACAAUAUAUUUUAUUGGUUUAAAUUGGUAUAUGAAGAUAAU